Molecule: long non-coding RNA, 548 nt
Organism: Thunnus maccoyii (southern bluefin tuna)
Lineage: Eukaryota; Metazoa; Chordata; Actinopteri; Scombriformes; Scombridae
Exons: 4
Source: RefSeq, a predicted model, not a curated record
CCAAGCCCAGCUCCAUGAAGAAAUGAUCAACACCACUUUGGAAUAAGAGAGAGGAAAGAAGCAUGUUCACUGAAGAGUUCCAGCUUCCCUGCUGUGUGAAGACGAGAGGUUAUCCAGGUCAUCAGACAGAUAUCCAGGGCCCUGCAGCAGUAGAGCAAAUCUGGUCUCCAGUUGAAAACUUGGUUGGUGUGGAGGUCCUGCUUCAUAGCUUCCGACGUGUUGAGCCUUCUGUGAUGAGUAUUGCGCAAUCAUGAGACAGAUGAGGAGCUGCAGUGUGACACCAUGGUUUCUGCUGUGCACAAAUCUAUUUCCAAGGUCGAGAAUGAACCUUCAAGCUCAACAAACAGUUUGCUACAGUGUGCAGUAUGCAAGAAGCUUUUCAUAUUCUUAUCUUAGACAUCAUUUAACUUUUUUCUGUGACGCUUGCAGCAUGAGAGUCUAACUCAGUAAACAUGUAAAUUGCUCAUCUCAUCUGAUCAAUCUUCUGUUCUUUUUAUUAUUUACACCUGUGCUUUUCCUACUGUAACAUGUCAAAAUAUCUUCUGUGA